UCCCUGGUAGCUCAGUCGGUAGAGCAGGUGGCUGUUAACCACCCUGUCGCUGGUUCGAAUCCGGCCCGGGGAGCCA
This 76-nucleotide transfer RNA is filed under the name Desulfuromonas sp. Its description in RNAcentral is "tRNA-Asn". It matches the Rfam family "tRNA". Rfam says of the family: Transfer RNA (tRNA) molecules are approximately 80 nucleotides in length. Their secondary structure includes four short double-helical elements and three loops (D, anti-codon, and T loops). The record is from RNAcentral. Lineage: Bacteria; Pseudomonadati; Thermodesulfobacteriota; Desulfuromonadia; Desulfuromonadales; Desulfuromonadaceae. RNAcentral also lists the same sequence under 3 other names.